UACGAAGGGGGCUAGCGUUGCUCGGAAUCACUGGGCGUAAAGGGCGCGUAGGCGGAUUCUUAAGUCGGGUGUGAAAGUCCCGGGCUCAACCUGGGAAUUGCAUUCGAGACUGCAUUGCUGGAGUACGGAAGAGGAGGGCGGAAUUCCCGGUGUAGCGGUGAAAUGCGUAGAUAUCGGGAGGAACAUCAGUGGCGAAGGCGGCCCUCUGGUCCAGUACUGACACUCAAGUGCGAAAGCGUGGGGAGCAAACAGG
This 253-nucleotide ribosomal RNA is filed under the name uncultured bacterium. RNAcentral's name for it is "partial 16S ribosomal RNA". It matches the Rfam family "Bacterial small subunit ribosomal RNA", at positions 524 to 776 of the family's 1533-position model. The record is from RNAcentral.